RNAcentral lists this ribosomal RNA (392 nucleotides) under uncultured bacterium. RNAcentral describes it as "partial 16S ribosomal RNA". It matches the Rfam family "Bacterial small subunit ribosomal RNA", at positions 523 to 918 of the family's 1533-position model. The record is from RNAcentral.
AUACGUAGGAUCCGAGCGUUAUCCGGAUUUAUUGGGUUUAAAGGGUGCGCAGGCGGCCAUUUAAGUCAGCGGUUAAAUCGUGGGGCUCAACCCCAUUCUGCCGUUGAUACUGGGUGGCUUGAUUGCGGUCGAGGUUGGCGGAAUUCGUUGUGUAGCGGUGAAAUGCAUAGAUAUGACGAAGAACACCGAUUGCGUAGGCAGCUGACCAGACCGCAAAUGACGCUCAUGCACGAAAGUGCGGGGAUCGAACAGGAUUAGAUACCCUGGUAGUCCGCACAGUAAACGAUGAAUACUUGUUUUCGGCGAUAUAAUGUCGGAGGCAAAGCGAAAGCGAUAAGUAUUCCACCUGGGGAGUACGCCGGCAACGGUGAAACUCAAAGGAAUUGACGGGG